Molecule: ribosomal RNA, 253 nt
Filed under: uncultured bacterium
Lineage: Bacteria
Description: partial 16S ribosomal RNA
Rfam family: Bacterial small subunit ribosomal RNA
Source: RNAcentral
CACGGACCGCACGAACGUUGUUCGGAAUCACUGGGCGUAAAGGGAGCGUAGGCGGCGUGGUAAGUCAGAUGUGAAAUCCCGGGGCUCAACCCCGGAACUGCAUCCGAUACUGCCAUGCUAGAGGAUUGGAGAGGUAGCUGGAAUUCUUGGUGUAGCAGUGAAAUGCGUAGAGAUCAAGAGGAACACUCGUGGCGAAAGCGAGCUACUGGACAAUUCCUGACGCUGAGGCUCGAAGGCUAGGGUAGCGAAAGGG